This 459-nucleotide ribosomal RNA is filed under the name uncultured bacterium. RNAcentral describes it as "partial 16S ribosomal RNA". It matches the Rfam family "Bacterial small subunit ribosomal RNA", at positions 338 to 795 of the family's 1533-position model. The record is from RNAcentral.
CCUACGGGUGACAGCAGUGAGGAAUAUUGGUCAAUGGACGAGAGUCUGAACCAGCCAAGUAGCGCGAAGGAUGACUGCCCUAUGUGUUGUAAACUUCUUUUAUAUGGGAAUAAAACAGGGUAUGCAUACCCGCUUGUAUGUACCACAUGAAUAAGGAUCGGCAAACUCGGGGCCAGCAGCCGGGGUAAUAGGGGGAUCCGAGGGUUAUCCGGAUUUAUUGGGUUUAAAGGGAGCGUAGGUGGAUUGUUAAGGCAGUUGUGAAAGUUUGCGGCUUAACCGUAAAAUUGCAGUUGAAACUGGCAGUCUUGAGUACAGUAGAGGUGAGCGGAAUUCGUGGUGUAGCGGUGAAAUGCUUAGAUAUCACGAAGAACUCCGAUUGCGAAGGCAGCUCACUGGACUGCAACUGACACUGAUGCUCGAAAGUGUGGGUAUCAAACAGGAUUAGAUACCCUGGUAGUC